CCUUGAAAUACCACCCUUUAAUGUUUGAUGUUCUAACGUGGACCCGUAAUCCGGGUUGCGGACAGUGUCUGGUGGGUAGUUUGACUGGGGCGGUCUCCUCCUAAAGAGUAACGGAGGAGCACGAAGGUUGGCUAAUCCUGGUCGGACAUCAGGAGGUUAGUGCAAUGGCAUAAGCCAGCUUGACUGCGAGCGUGACGGCGCGAGCAGGUGCGAAAGCAGGUCAUAGUGAUCCGGUGGUUCUGAAUGGAAGGGCCAUCGCUCAACGGAUAAAAGGUACUCCGGGGAUAACAGGCUGAUACCGCCCAAGAGUUCAUAUCGACGGCGGUGUUUGGCACCUCGAUGUCGGCUCAUCACAUCCUGGGGCUGAAGUAGGUCCCAAGGGUAUGGCUGUUCGCCAUUUAAAGUGGUACGCGAGCUGGGUUUAGAACGUCGUGAGACAGUUCGGUCCCUA
Molecule: ribosomal RNA, 451 nt
Filed under: Escherichia coli
Lineage: Bacteria; Pseudomonadati; Pseudomonadota; Gammaproteobacteria; Enterobacterales; Enterobacteriaceae
Description: partial 23S ribosomal RNA
Rfam family: Bacterial large subunit ribosomal RNA
Source: RNAcentral